Molecule: microRNA precursor, 77 nt
Organism: Colobus angolensis palliatus
Lineage: Eukaryota; Metazoa; Chordata; Mammalia; Primates; Cercopithecidae
Source: Ensembl
UCACUUUGGUGCCUAGGCUGAGACUGCAGUGGUACAAUCUCAGCUCACCACAGCCUUGACCUCUUGGGCUCAGGUGA